CCUUCGGGGAACGCGAAAGGCGUCGAGCGGCGGACGGGUGAGUAAUGCCUAGGAAAUUGCCCUGAUGUGGGGGAUAACCAUUGGAAACGAUGGCUAAUACCGCAUAAUGCCUACGGGCCAAAGAGGGGGACCUUCGGGCCUCUCGCGUCAGGAUAUGCCUAGGUGGGAUUAGCUAGUUGGUGAGGUAAGGGCUCACCAAGGCGACGAUCCCUAGCUGGUCUGAGAGGAUGAUCAGCCACACUGGAACUGAGACACGGUCCAGACUCCUACGGGAGGCAGCAGUGGGGAAUAUUGCACAAUGGGCGCAAGCCUGAUGCAGCCAUGCCGCGUGUGUGAAGAAGGCCUUCGGGUUGUAAAGCACUUUCAGUCGUGAGGAAGGUAGUGUAGUUAAUAGCUGCAUUAUUUGACGUUAGCGACAGAAGAAGCACCGGCUAACUCCGUGCCAGCAGCCGCGGUAAUACGGAGGGUGCGAGCGUUAAUCGGAAUUACUGGGCGUAAAGCGCAUGCAGGUGGUUUGUUAAGUCAGAUGUGAAAGCCCGGGGCUCAACCUCGGAAUUGCAUUUGAAACUGGCAGACUACAGUACUGUACAGGGGGGUAGAAUUUCAGGUGUAGCGGUGAAAUGC
This 624-nucleotide ribosomal RNA is filed under the name Vibrio sp. BR 9807. Its description in RNAcentral is "bacterial SSU rRNA". It matches the Rfam family "Bacterial small subunit ribosomal RNA", at positions 77 to 689 of the family's 1533-position model. Lineage: Bacteria; Pseudomonadati; Pseudomonadota; Gammaproteobacteria; Vibrionales; Vibrionaceae. The record is from RNAcentral.